CACUUGGUAUUGCCGCACACAGCAGGUAUUGCCGCACACAGCAGGUAUUACCGCACACAACAGGAAUUGCCGCACAGCGCAGGUAUUGCCGCACACCGCAGGAAUUGCUGCACACAGCAGGUAUUGCCUCACACAGCAGGUAUUGCGGCACACAGCAGGAGUUGCCGCACACAGCAGGAGACCGGGAGAAACGGUGGGAUGGACAGUGCUGGAUUGCCACAUGACACAACCAAUGAGAAAUGCAAGUGGAAUUGGUCACAAUCAGUUAGAGCAGAGGAUGUAAUUAGACCGAUGACACACUGUCCAGCUACUCAGGACAGACUUGUCCCCCCCACCCAGGGAGGACUUGGGUGAAUUAGCACAUCCCAUUCCUUUGUAUUGGUGCCAUGGGCUGAGGCUAGUCUACUCCCCCCUCCUCGGCCUCUAAUCUCUGCACUGUGUGGAGAUGGUGGUAAGCCAUGGCAAGGACCAGAGUGGAUCACAGAUGAUCGUUGCCCAACAGGUGGGAGAAGAAGAAUUCCUGCCUUCCUCAAGAGGAACACCUACCCCGUGGCUAAUGCUGGGGAUACUAUUUCUCUGAGAAGAAUGUCAAAAGAUUGGCCCAGCUCAGUGUGCAGUUUGCGCUACUAGCUCCUUGGACUGCUGUAAGAAGAGUCUCUGGAAUACUGGAUGAAUUUAGAGGCGGUUCUGUACCACAACUCAAGAGGAACGAUGGCUUGAUUUUUGGUGGAUUGGUGCCUCAUAGAUAGCAUCCAAAGGACAUUCUGAGCAUGUGAAACCUGAGAACUGCAAGCAGCUGUAAGAGGCUCCAAAUUCAGCAGAUCUUUCCUUUUGAGAAUCUGGGACAAACUCUAGCUAAUCUGAGCGGAUGGCUUGCAAGCCACCUGGAGAA
Long non-coding RNA from Lemur catta (Ring-tailed lemur), 892 nucleotides. RefSeq lists it as uncharacterized. The record is from RefSeq and is a predicted model, not a curated record. The transcript has 4 exons. NCBI's taxonomy places the organism in Eukaryota, Metazoa, Chordata, Mammalia, Primates, Lemuridae.